CGUCACUCCGAGAAGAGGAGGAAAAUUAAAAAGGAAAGCGACGAACUACAUCAAAAAUAGAUGAAGGACAAACUACAUCAAAGACCUAAGGAACCUCGCCUCAACGAAGAUGGGAAGUUCCUACCAAACACCCCCGGCCUCUAAGAAGGCUUUCGACACAGGUCAAGAAAACAGCGACACCUUCGAGGUAAUGUGGAGUUCGGACCACUAAGCUCGAGCCUACGGCC
This 227-nucleotide long non-coding RNA is filed under the name Elaeis guineensis (African oil palm). RNAcentral's name for it is "long non-coding RNA (EGUI_LNC059857)". Lineage: Eukaryota; Viridiplantae; Streptophyta; Magnoliopsida; Arecales; Arecaceae. The record is from RNAcentral.